Molecule: ribosomal RNA, 440 nt
Filed under: uncultured Alphaproteobacteria bacterium
Lineage: Bacteria; Pseudomonadati; Pseudomonadota; Alphaproteobacteria
Description: bacterial SSU rRNA
Rfam family: Bacterial small subunit ribosomal RNA
Source: RNAcentral
GAGUUUGAUCUUGGCUCAGAACGAACGCUGGCGGCAGGCCUAACACAUGCAAGUUGAACGAUGUAGCAAUACAGAGUAGCGCACGGGUGCGUAACGCGUGGGAAUAUGCCCUUCACUACGGAACAACGUUUGGAAACGAACGCUAAUACCGUAUAAUGACUUCGGUCCAAAGAUUUAUCGGUGAAGGAUUAGCCCGCGUCUGAUUAGCUAGUUGGUGAGGUAACGGCUCACCAAGGCGACGAUCAGUAGCUGGUCUGAGAGGAUGAUCAGCCACACUGGGACUGAGACACGGCCCAGACUCCUACGGGAGGCAGCAGUGAGGAAUAUUGGACAAUGGGCGCAAGCCUGAUCCAGCCAUGCCGCGUGAGUGACGAAGGCCUUCGGUUGUAAGCUCUUUCAGAUGCGAAGAUAAUGACGGUAACAUCAGAAGAAGACCCCGG